RNAcentral lists this microRNA (21 nucleotides) under Ananas comosus (pineapple). Its description in RNAcentral is "microRNA s0496_c66a". The record is from RNAcentral. Lineage: Eukaryota; Viridiplantae; Streptophyta; Magnoliopsida; Poales; Bromeliaceae.
CUUUAAGAAACACCUACCAAC